This 896-nucleotide long non-coding RNA is filed under the name Pan troglodytes (chimpanzee). RNAcentral describes it as "lncRNA (ENSPTRG00000053872.1)". The record is from RNAcentral. Lineage: Eukaryota; Metazoa; Chordata; Mammalia; Primates; Hominidae.
GCCGCGGGGUGGGAGCCCAGACGCACACCGCGCAUGCUCCGAGCGCGGCGCCCCCGACGCGGCGCUCGGCUCGGCUCGGGCAUUUCCGCCUCUUUGUUUUAAACUCCGGACGGGCUUUUUUCUCCUCCUCUUGGGGGGGACCCACAGGGAGCGGCGCCCCCUCCCCCCUCCGGCGCGGACCCCGCGUGCGCCUUGCUCGCCCGCAGCCCCGAGACCGCAGGCGUCACAAUGUAGCAGGGACCCCAGGCGUCGUGCUCAGAAAAUGGAAAAAGAGCCAGGGCCGGAAGGAGGGUGCAGAAGCGAGUCCCCGUGCGGAGCCAGGAGGCAGCGUCGCGUGGGAGUGCUGGCCUGAAGCCUCCAUGCCCCGGCAGAGGGACGGACACGCGGACGUCUAGCGGAGGUGAGGCCCACGCCCCCCGACACCCGGGGUCCUGCUGACUCCUUGCCCUGCCCUGUUGCUGGUUGUGGCGAGGGCCGGCGAUCAUUAGGAGCCAGCUGGUCAGGACACGAUGCAGUGUUCAGGGUUCACUGCCGAGUUUUCCUGGCCCCUCCUGUGAGAGUCCAAGGUCCAGCCAGCUGUGGGGGACCCAGGCCUCGAUGGCAGUGCGGGGUGCAGAGGGCUGGUCUCCUUCCGUCACUGGUUCACUUGGGUUCCCGGCGUGUCGCCGAGGAGCAGUGCUGCUUGGGGCCCGAGCCUGGGGCCUCAGCCCAGUGAGUUGUGAGGCGGUCGACUAGCAUCAUGCAGGGAGGUCCUCAGGGGCGCAGGGCAGGGCUGUCUCUCCCCUCCUGGGUGCUCUGUUCCCUCCUGGGUGGGCGUGGCCCUCAGGGGUGUAGGGCGGGCCUCCGCCUCUCUCUCCCUCGUGGGUGGGCGAGGUGCCUCGGGCUAGGGCAGGUCG